GCUCUGGCCGCUGGUGAAGGAGGGUGUGUGUCGCGCUGAUCCGGGGUGAGUGAGCAAAUGCAUACCUGUCUCAUUAGGCCUGCCAGACUCACCUGUCCCGGCAACACUGGAUUACCUGCCCCCUCCCCGCCCAGGUGAACUCUAUUUAAAGCCAGAUUCAAGUAGACUGAGUUAACUAUAAAGAGGAAGAGAACGACAUAGAGAGAAAGUGAGGAGGGUUUGAGAUAUAAUAAAAGAGAAAGAGAGGGAUAGAAAACAGAGAAGAAGAGAGCGAAAGGGAGAGAGAGAGAGAGAAAGGGAGGGAUGAAUAGUAAGUAAUAACUGAAUAAUCCAGAGAUAUAGAGAUAUAUGUGUACAGAUACAAGGGAAAAUACGAGAGAGAGAGAGAGAGAGAAACGGAAGAGAGAAAUAAAGAGAGAUAGAUAGAGAUAAAAGAGAAACUAAAGAGAUGCUGUAAAGAGACUGACAAAAACCCCAACGAACUCUUGCAAAACAUUCUCUUUGAAACUUAACAAAAAGAAAAGGAAAAGAGAAACGAAAUAAUAAAAAAAAAAACAGCAAAAAAAUCAAUAAAAACCCUAAAAGAAGUGAAUAUUAUGUGAACCUGACGAGAAGAAAACGAAGGUGAAAGUAAUGAAAAAUGUGAUAAUGAUGGAUAGAAAAAGAAGAAGUGAAGAGGAUGAUGAGAAGAAGGCCGGUGAAGCCGUGAACCAGCCAGCCUAGAAAGGUGAUGUAGAGGGAGGCAGCGAGCACGUCUACACACUCACACACACAAACACACACGCUGAUAUCCAGGCAGCCGCUAUCUUCCCUAUCUUUAAGGUGAGCGACACGUGUCCCUAGCGGUCUCGCCAGGCGUUAACGAGCACCGGAUGAGUAGAUGAAACACAGGUGCUCUGCGACCGCUAAUUAGUCCCGCAAUAACCAGGUAACAUGCCAACAGGAACAUCCACACACUCAUACACACGCAGGUACAAAGGAGAAAAAAGAAAAAAAAGGAGAGAUAAAUAGACAUGCAAACAUCGAGAUAGAAAGAUACACUGAUUGACAAACACCAAGAUAUUCAAAA
Molecule: long non-coding RNA, 1069 nt
Organism: Scylla paramamosain (green mud crab)
Lineage: Eukaryota; Metazoa; Arthropoda; Malacostraca; Decapoda; Portunidae
Exons: 3
Source: RefSeq, a predicted model, not a curated record